UACGGAGGGUGCAAGCGUUAUCCGGAUUUACUGGGUUUAAAGGGUGCGUAGGUGGGUUGGGAAGUCAGUGGUGAAAUACUUUCGCUUAACGAAGGAACUGCCAUUGAUACUAUCAAUCUUGAAUGUAGUGGAGGUAGGCGGAAUGCGUCAUGUAGCGGUGAAAUGCAUUGAGAUCGGAAAGAACACCAACGGCGAAAGCACUCUGCUGGGCCGACACUGACACUGAGAGACGAAAGCUAGGGGAGCAAAUGGG
Molecule: ribosomal RNA, 253 nt
Filed under: uncultured bacterium
Lineage: Bacteria
Description: partial 16S ribosomal RNA
Rfam family: Bacterial small subunit ribosomal RNA
Source: RNAcentral